This is a long non-coding RNA of Alnus glutinosa, 1969 nucleotides long. RefSeq lists it as uncharacterized. NCBI's taxonomy places the organism in Eukaryota, Viridiplantae, Streptophyta, Magnoliopsida, Fagales, Betulaceae. The record is from RefSeq and is a predicted model, not a curated record. The transcript is spliced from 2 exons.
AAACAAAAUUGUUCACAAGAAAAAACCCAAAUAAACCCUCCAUCCUAAGACUCUCUAACCCAGAACCCACAUGGAGCAUACAUGUUACAUCACAUGAGCCUUGCCUUUCCCUCAACAAGAAGACACGCUUGGAUCGCUGUAGUUAAUAGAGCUAUUUAGGUUCAACACCUCCCUCCUACCUUUCUUCUUUUAACACGCAAGUUUUACAAACCGAAGAAGGUCCUCUUCAAUGGCAUCCUGAAACUUCAAAGAGGGAUUCUCAACCUCAUCACCAUUCGACACCCCAUUCUUGUCAUCGGCGGGAAUGCUUGAGGAGGUACAACCCAAAUAGGUGGGAGAAACAACCGUCACUACAGGCAAGUGAGGACCAUCCACAAAACCCUCUUGAUCACUGACUUGUGCCGAAGAAACCUCUGAUAGCUGUUGGAGAAGAACAUCCCUGAGACAUAAAGGGCCUUGACUUUAGAAAACUCCACCGGAGAAAAUCCACAUCAACAAUUGUCGGGGUUUGGGUCUUCUUAACAGACUAUGACCUGUGAAUCUCGUCCAGCGAAGUGGCCAGACCAUCGACAACAGGACUUGACGGAGAGGACUAAAUAAUUGGCAAAACUUGGGGCUUCUUCGCAAACUACGGCCUAUGCACCACGUCCAACGGAGGGAUCACAUCCAUCCGAGAAUCCUCUUUGCCACCCGAAGAAAUCACCCCUGAACGAGACGCACCAAAAGUAACAAACCCAGUCACGGAACUAAUCGUAGCCGAGGAAGACCACUCUGACUUAACUGAAUCUGGCGCAAGCAUCAUGAUGGAACUGGGCUGAAGUGCCAAAAAAUCAGGAAGAGUGCUCACCGGGUCGAGCCUAUCUCGUUGAACCUUCGAAAAAACCUCAGACCCAACCCCCGGCAACCCCAUCACCGAGUCUGCCACCGGAGAAAAAACGCAAGCACCCCCCGAACUUGAUGAUAACAUUACUCACCGGGUCAACCCCAAAACCUUCCUCCGUCAAGACCUCCGGCGAAGAAAUCAAAUCAGCGGCUUCGCAGGCUUCUUCCCGACCCGAAAAACCACGUCUAGGACCUUUGGGCUGCAAGGAAGGCCUGAAAAUGAGCUUGAACUCCUGUCCGACGACUUGCAAACUGGUUUAAGCUGGAGAAUGGGCUUCUUGCUGCCAGCCUUAAAACCCAACCCAACUAAACGACCCAUACAACUUCUAACCUGGUCUAACCCAAAUCGACAAAGCCCUAGAAGCUUCUUCAACCAACGAUUUACAAAACUACCCUUCGUCUUCUUCACUGUUGCGCUGGAAGCUACCGCCAACGACCCAGAGGACCAAGACUCAAACUCAAAACAAUUCAACCGCCGAUCUCACCUCCUCUCCACCAUUUGCCAACUCAUUACAAGAAACAUUCGGUAGUAUAUCAAGAGGGAUCACCGACUAAGACCUCAAACCCACAACCUUCCCAUCAACGCUAGCUGCCGAGUGUAGGACUUCCGCGAAAGAGCGACUGGAUGAGAGUACCACCCGCUUCUGUUUACCCUCCGGAGCGGACACCACGGGUAUUAGAGACCGAUCCUUUGCCUUGAGAAACUCCAGCAACUGCUGCAGCUCAGGGCGAGCGAGCUCAGUGGCAAGAUGGAGGAGAUUCGAAGAAAGAUUAAACUGUUGAGGGAAAAAGUGGAAUAUAAAGUAAGACAGUUUCAAAUGGAAAUGGACUCAUCCCAAACACAGUUGGGGGAAAACAUGGUAUCUGAAGUCAGAGAGCUUCAGGUAGAACUAACAGCAUUAGAACAAGAGUUCCAAGAAGUCCAAGAGUUCCAAGAGCAGAUCCAUCGUCGUAGGAAAUAGUUCCACCAUCGUGUAGGAACAAAGAUACACUUGUUUCUAAACGUUUUUCAUUUUAUAGAUGAAUCUGUUUCUUAUAAAAAUUGAACAAUAUGCACAUCAAAUAUAAUGAAAACAAUUUCUUAUAA